AAGGGAAACCAAAGUACUUAUUCUCAUGGGUUUUUCUGACCAAAACAAUGUGUUGUGUUUACUGUUGCUGACUGAACUAAUAAUUCUACACAGUUUUAGAGACACAAGGAGGGUAGAUGGUACCGCGGGUCUGUCAUCAGGCUAUUGGAUGUGUGAGAUAAUCAGAAGCAUUAUUUCCUGUGCUUGGGUCUUCCUCACUGGUUAUUUGGACGAAUCAGGAUUGGGCAAAGGCGGUGCUUAAACUGGGGGUGGGGAUUUCUAGCCCAUGUGUGAUAAAUACAGGUGAAAUUAUCCGAAGGGGAGGGGCUUUGCCUUACAGUUUCCAUUUGCGAGGGUGGAGACUUCUCAAUCCGGAAAUCUACAUUUCUAACACGUUUGUUCCCAGAAUUGAAUCGACCAUCUGACCCAACUAGAUGUCCCUGGUGGUAAUGGUGCCGUACUACAUGUCUGCUGUCUUUCGUGCUCCAACCCAACGACGAUAAAUGUCUCUGGUGGACCUGAGAUAAAGGGUCAGGUAUAUGACCUGAGACAGAGUUUGGGUUAGCGGGUGAUGAUAACGUGUGCUGUGUUGUGUGUUGUAAUGCUCUCCUCUCACCACGAGAUGUCUCUGGUGGACCUGAGAUAAAGGGUCAGGUAUAUGACCUGAGACAGUGGACCUGUGAAGGAAGCUCGUGGAAGCAGCCAAGUUCUCACCAGGGUCCCUAUUCAUAAAACUAGCAUCCCAAAUGGCACCCUAUUCCCUAUUUAGUCCACUACAUUGGACCAGGACCAUUCGCUGGGGACCUGUCUGCCCAGUACGAUCAGUACUCCCCAACGGAGGUUCUACUGAGGCCAGGGGUCAGCCAUGAUGCCCGGACCAAGGUGGACCACACCCCCCUCCACAGGGCUGCUCCAGCAGGGACAGGCAUCGUAGAGGUCCUGCUCCAGGUACAGCCUCCCUCUACAUGGCUGCUCCAGCAGGGACAGGCAUCGUAGAGGUCCUGCUCCAGGUACAGCCUCCCUCCACAGGGCUGCUCCAGCAGGGACAGGCAUCGUAGAGGUCCUGCUCCAGGUACAGCCUCCCUCUACAUGGCUGCUCCAGCAGGGACAGGCAUCGUAGAGGUCCUGCUCCAGGUACAGCCUCCCUCCACAGGGCUGCUCCAGCAGGGACAGGCAUCGUAGAGGUCCUGCUCCAGGUACAGCCUCCCUCUACAUGGCUGCUCCAGCAGGGACAGGCAUCGUAGAGGUCCUGCUCCAGGUACAGCCUCCCUCCACAGGGCUGCUCCAGCAGGGACAGGCAUCGUAGAGGUCCUGCUCCAGGUACAGCCUCCCUCUACAUGGCUGCUCCAGCAGGGACAGGCAUCGUAGAGGUCCUGCUCCAGGUACAGCCUCCCUCCACAGGGCUGCUCCAGCAGGGACAGGCAUCGUAGAGGUCCUGCUCCAGGUACAGCCUCCCUCUACAUGGCUGCUCCAGCAGGGACAGGCAUCGUAGAGGUCCUGCUCCAGGUACAGCCUCCCUCCACAGGGCUGCUCCAGCAGGGACAGGCAUCGUAGAGGUCCUGCUCCAGUUACAGCCUCCCUCUACAUGGCUGCUCCAGCAGGGACAGGCAUC
This is a long non-coding RNA of Oncorhynchus keta (chum salmon), 1591 nucleotides long. RefSeq lists it as uncharacterized. The record is from RefSeq and is a predicted model, not a curated record. The transcript is spliced from 9 exons. Lineage: Eukaryota; Metazoa; Chordata; Actinopteri; Salmoniformes; Salmonidae.